GUGUUCACUUUGGCAGCACAUAUGGUAAAACUGGGCUAACACAGAGGUUAGCAUGCUUCUUGCUGAAGGAUGACAUCUGGUGAAGUGGUCCAGAUUCUU
This 99-nucleotide small nuclear RNA is filed under the name Mesocricetus auratus (golden hamster). The record is from RNAcentral. Lineage: Eukaryota; Metazoa; Chordata; Mammalia; Rodentia; Cricetidae.